UGCGUAACGCGUGGGAAUCUGCCCUUGGGUUCGGAAUAACGUCGGGAAACUGACGCUAAUACCGGAUGAUGACGUAAGUCCAAAGAUUUAUCGCCCAGGGAUGAGCCCGCGUAGGAUUAGCUAGUUGGUAAGGUAAAGGCUUACCAAGGCGACGAUCCUUAGCUGGUCUGAGAGGAUGAUCAGCCACACUGGGACUGAGACACGGCCCAGACUCCUACGGGAGGCAGCAGUAGGGAAUAUUGGACAAUGGGGGCAACCCUGAUCCAGCAAUGCCGCGUGAGUGAUGAAGGCCUUAGGGUUGUAAAGCUCUUUUACCCGGGAUGAUAAUGACAGUACCGGGAGAAUAAGCCCCGGCUAACUCCGUGCCAGCAGCCGCGGUAAUACGGAGGGGGCUAGCGUUGUUCGGAAUUACUGGGCGUAAAGCGCACGUAGGCGGCGAUUUAAGUCAGGGGUGAAAGCCCAGUGCUCAACACUGGAACUGCCCUUGAGACUGGAUUGCUUGAAUCACGGAGAGGUGGGUGGAAUUCCGAGUGUAGAGGUGAAAUUCGUAGAUAUUCGGAAGAACACCAGUGG
RNAcentral lists this ribosomal RNA (573 nucleotides) under Sphingomonas sp. RNAcentral's name for it is "bacterial SSU rRNA". It matches the Rfam family "Bacterial small subunit ribosomal RNA", at positions 107 to 715 of the family's 1533-position model. The record is from RNAcentral. Lineage: Bacteria; Pseudomonadati; Pseudomonadota; Alphaproteobacteria; Sphingomonadales; Sphingomonadaceae.